Engraulis encrasicolus (European anchovy) is the source of this 930-nucleotide long non-coding RNA. RefSeq lists it as uncharacterized. The record is from RefSeq and is a predicted model, not a curated record. The transcript is spliced from 4 exons. Lineage: Eukaryota; Metazoa; Chordata; Actinopteri; Clupeiformes; Engraulidae.
CAUGUGUAUACAUUAUGGUGUCUGUCUUCUGUAUCGCGCAUGUAAUUAUGCAUGGAUUGCUACGUCUUUAUCAUACGUAGGCUAUUGUCUGCGCUAUUUAAUAAUUAGGCCUACACACUGCGUAGGCCUACUGCAACUGCAUGGAUUAUUGUUGAGGUCUAUUUAAUGACACGUCUGGUCUGGUAAAAGUAUCCCAUGUAAUUCACAUCAAUAUUUUUAUCCCGCUGUGUUUCUACUUGACAUUCUCCUUUCGAACCGAUCAAGAAGUAAUAUCUAGACUAUUCUAUAGUAGCGUUAAAGAAUUUGUGUUUCAGAGUUGACUUUCUAUAUCCACUAGGUGGCAUCAGUUACCUUGGCUAGUUGGCUUAUCCGGUAAAGUUUGACCCGGAAGUGAUAGCGUUGGCGUUGGUUAGAAUUAUUUUUUAAAAAAAAAUGUUUGUUACGUGUGAGUGUGUUUGUGUGUAUCUGACUGUGGACCAAGCUACGUGCUCCUUGGAUGGUAUGUGGACUUUAUUAGCGAAAUACAAAGGACAUACUGUUUCUCUGGUCAGGGAAGAAGAAAAAGAAGAGGAAGAAGAUAGAGCUACUCCUGCGACUAUGUUGGUGUUGGGAUAGCAGAACUUUCUGUGCUCUCACGGUCCGUGGCGGUGGUUCUGGCAGCAAUUACCAGCUGAGUUCACACAGUGUCGUGGAAGAAUUGGCUGUGGACAUGUGAGAACUGGACACGGGCAGACAUAUCAAUGCCACGCCAUCUGCAUACCAGUGCCAUCUUUUCUGUCCUCCAGCAACGUCAUCAUGGAAUCUCAUAAAUAUGGUGAUAUGGCAGCGGAGUGGACGUGUGGGAUCUGGAGAUGAGAUCGCAAUCUCCAACAUCUCUAGCUACGUUUUCUGCUGAGAGAGAGAGAGAGAUGGGCCAAACACAUUUGAAUU